UGGGGAAUAUUGGACAAUGGGCGAAAGCCUGAUCCAGCAAUGCCGCGUGAGUGAAGAAGGCCUUCGGGUUGUAAAGCUCUUUUACCCGGGAAGAUAAUGACUGUACCGGGAGAAUAAGCCCCGGCUAACUCCGUGCCAGCAGCCGCGGUAAUACGGAGGGGGCUAGCGUUGUUCGGAAUUACUGGGCGUAAAGCGUACGUAGGCGGUUAUCCAAGUCAGAGGUGAAAGCCCGGGGGCUCAACUCCGGAACUGCCUUUGAAACUAGGUAGCUAGAAUCACGGAGAGGUAAGUGGAAUUCCGAGUGUAGAGGUGAAAUUCGUAGAUAUUCGGAAGAACACCAGUGGCGAAGGCGGCUUACUGGACGUGUAUUGACGCUGAGGUACGAAAGCGUGGGGAGCAAACAGGAUU
Molecule: ribosomal RNA, 408 nt
Filed under: uncultured bacterium
Lineage: Bacteria
Description: bacterial SSU rRNA
Rfam family: Bacterial small subunit ribosomal RNA
Source: RNAcentral